UAAGAUUUAUUUACUAUUAUUUAAAUAUAUCUAUAAAUUUUUAUAAAAAUCAUUUUAUUGUUAUUGUAUUUGUUAUGGAUCUAAUUAAUAUAAGUUUUAAUUUAAUAGUACUGUGAAGGAAAAAAAAGAAAUAAUGGAUUUAUUAAAUAGUAAGUUGAAUUUAUUUUUUGUACCUUGUGUAUCAGGGUUAAUUAAUUUAAAUUUAUAAAUAUUAAUUUUCUCGAUUCUUUUAGAGCUAAUAAGUUAUAUUUUUUAUUGUAGAAAAAAUAUUAAUAAUAAUUUAUUAGAAGUGAAAUAUUAGUCGUUAAUGGGGAUAUCUAGUUUUUUGGGAAAUAAAUUUAAUUUAAAUUCUUUCUAUAAUUUUUUUAUUUAAAAUAUUCUUUUAGUUGGAUUUAUUAAUAAAUGGGAUAAGCUUUUUAUUAAAUAUUCAUAAGGUAUAAAUUAAUAAAGUCUUGUAGGUUUAAUGAUAACUAUCAUAAUAAGUAUAUUAAAAUUUUAUUUUUUUAUAAAUUAAUUUUUUUGCCUUUGAAAUUUUACUAAUUUGUUUUAAUUAACUAAUAAUUAAUUAAAAUAAUGAUUAAAUUAGUAUAUAAAUUUUAAUAUAAUUAUAUUUUUAAGAAGUAAUUUUGAGGAAUUAGGCAAAAAUUAUUGUUCGCCUGUUUAACAAAAACAUCUCUUCCUGAUUAAAUAGGAGGUAUAACCUGCCCAAUGAAAUUAUUUAAUGGCCGCGGUAUAUUGACCGUGCAAAGGUAGCAUAAUCAUUAGUCUUUUAAUUGAAGGCUGGAAUGAAUGGUUGGACGAGAUAAUAACUAUCUUUAUAUUAUAAAUUAGAAUUUAAUUUUUAAGUUAAAAAGCUUAAAUAUUUUUUUGGGACGAGAAGACCCUAUAGAAUUUAAAUAUUUAUUUUAUUUAUAUAAGUUUGAUUAAUUAUUAAUUAUUUUAGGUAUUUUGUUGGGGUGAUGAAAAGAUAAAUGUAACUCUUUAUUGUAUAAACUUAUUUAUUUAUAUUAUUUUGAUCCACAUAUAGUGAUUAUAAGACUAAAUUACCUUAGGGAUAACAGCGUAAUCUUUUUUGAGAGUUCAUAUCGACAAAAGGGGUUGCGACCUCGAUGUUGGAUUAAGAUUAUCUUUGGGUGUAGAAGCUUAAAAAUUAGGUCUGUUCGACCUUUAAAAUCUUACAUGAUCUGAGUUCAAACCGGCGUAAGCCAGGUUGGUUUCUAUCUAAUAUAAAUUAGGAUAUUUUAGUACGAGAGGACCAAAUAUUUGAAAUAAUUUUUUAUCUAUGAAUAUUAUUAAGA
This 1298-nucleotide ribosomal RNA is filed under the name Brephallus tramlapensis. Its description in RNAcentral is "16S ribosomal RNA". The stretch from base 868 to 1225 matches the Rfam family "Archaeal large subunit ribosomal RNA", at positions 2152 to 2714 of the family's 2987-position model. The record is from RNAcentral. Lineage: Eukaryota; Metazoa; Arthropoda; Insecta; Blattodea; Blaberidae.